This 467-nucleotide ribosomal RNA is filed under the name uncultured bacterium. RNAcentral describes it as "bacterial SSU rRNA". It matches the Rfam family "Bacterial small subunit ribosomal RNA", at positions 329 to 794 of the family's 1533-position model. The record is from RNAcentral.
UUCCAGACUCCUACGGGAGGCAGCAGUGAGGAAUAUUGGUCAAUGGCCGGGAGGCUGAACCAGCCAAGUCGCGUGAGGGAAGACGGCCCUACGGGUUGUAAACCUCUUUUGUCAGGGAGCAAGGUGCAGGUCGGGACCUGCUGUGAGAGUACCUGAAGAAAAAGCAUCGGCUAACUCCGUGCCAGCAGCCGCGGUAAUACGGAGGAUGCGAGCGUUAUCCGGAUUUAUUGGGUUUAAAGGGUGCGUAGGCGGAAUAUCAAGUCAGCGGUAAAAAUUCGGGGCUCAACCCCGUCGUGCCGUUGAAACUGAUGUUCUUGAGUGGGCGAGAAGUAUGCGGAAUGCGUGGUGUAGCGGUGAAAUGCAUAGAUAUCACGCAGAACUCCGAUUGCGAAGGCAGCAUACCGGCGCCCAACUGACGCUGAAGCACGAAAGCGUGGGUAUCGAACAGGAUUAGAUACCCUGGUACU